Molecule: ribosomal RNA, 1385 nt
Filed under: Lotongus taprobanus
Lineage: Eukaryota; Metazoa; Arthropoda; Insecta; Lepidoptera; Hesperiidae
Description: 16S ribosomal RNA
Source: RNAcentral
AGAUAAAAUUUAAUUAAUUAAAAAUAAUAAAAAGAAUUUUAAAAUAAAGUAUAUUUAUAUAAAUUAAUGGGGGUUAAAGUAUAUAAAUAGAAAUAAUUUAAAAAUUUAUAGGGAAGUAUGUAUUGUAAAAGAAUGUUGAAAUAAUAUGAAAAAUAAUUAAUUAAAAAGUAAAUUUAAUUUGUUGUAUCUUGUGUAUCAGAGUUUAUUAAAAAUAAAUUUUUUGAAAAAUUUUCUCGAAUUUAAAAGAGAUAAUUAAUUAAAGUUUUUAUUGUUGAAUAAAUAUAAAAAAUAAUUAAUUUGAAAUGAAAUGUUAAUCGUUUUUAAAUAUAUCUAGUUUUUUUAGAAAUAAAUUAAAUUUAAAAUUUUUUUUAUAAAUUUUAAUAUUAAUAUUAAAAUUUAAAUUAAAAAUUUAAUAUUUUAAGGGAUAAUCUUUAAAUUAAAUUUUUAUAAUAUAUUUAUAAUUUUUUCUUAUAAAUUUAAAUUUUUUAAGAUUUAAAUUGUUUAUAAAUUAUAUUUUUUUAUAAAAAAAUUUAAAUAUUAAAAAAUUUUUAAUUAAAAUUUAAUUUUUUAUAAAAAAAUAAUUUUAAUUGAAAUAAAAUUAGUUAUAAUGAUAAAAUUAGUAUAAUUUAUUUAUAUAUAUAUAGAAUUAAUUAAUUAAAAAUUAAAUUAAAGGAAUUCGGCAAAAUAAUAUAUUCACCUGUUUAUCAAAAACAUGUCUUUUUGAAAAUAAUUUAAAGUCGAAUCUGCCCACUGAUAGAUAUUGAAGGGCUGCAGUAUAUUGACUGUACAAAGGUAGCAUAAUCAUUAGUCUUUUAAUUGAAGACUUGUAUGAAUGAUUUGAUGAAAUAUAAACUGUCUCUAUUUUAUAAUUAGAAAUUAAUUUUUUAGUAAAAAAGCUAAAAUUUAUUUAAAAGACGAGAAGACCCUAUAGAGUUUUAUAAUUUUUUUAGUUAUUUAAAUGUAUUUUUAUAUAAUAUAUAUAUAUAUAUAAUGAGUAAAUAAUAAUUAAAAAAUUAUUUUAUUGGGGUGAUAAAAAAAUAAAUUAAACUUUUUUUAAAAUUAAACAUUGAUUAAUGAAUAAAUGAUCCAUUGUUAAUGAUUAAAAGAAAAAAUUACCUUAGGGAUAACAGCGUAAUUUUUUUUUUUAGUUCUUAUAAGAAGAAGAGUUUGCGACCUCGAUGUUGGAUUAAGAUAAAAAUUAGAUGCAGAAGUUUAAAUUUUUGAUCUGUUCGAUCAUUAAAAUCUUACAUGAUCUGAGUUCAAACCGGUGUGAGCCAGGUUGGUUUCUAUCUUUAGAUAAUUAUGAUAUUUUAGUACGAAAGGAUUAAAUAUAAUAAAUAAUUUAAAAAUAAAUUUUGAAUAUUAUUAAUUUAAUAUAUAUAUAU